Long non-coding RNA from Magnolia sinica, 344 nucleotides. RefSeq lists it as uncharacterized. The transcript is spliced from 2 exons. The record is from RefSeq and is a predicted model, not a curated record. Lineage: Eukaryota; Viridiplantae; Streptophyta; Magnoliopsida; Magnoliales; Magnoliaceae.
UGCAGUGUAGGUGUUUCACCAAGGCCUUCUAAUAAAAGUUUGUAGGGGCAUUACUCUCAUUGAUACUCCAAGAAGGAUAGGUGGAAAAGAGAAACUUACAUUUGAUUCAGCAGCAGGGUUCAUAUUCCUAGAGGUCAAGAAAGCCCCACCAAGGGCCAAGGAGCAGCAAUAGCUCUUCAUCCAAGCCGGAAUCCAAAACUAAAGACAAGUGUGUUGUAAUGUAAAGAAAGCAUUUGUAUAUGAUGUAUUUCCCUUCCUUUUUUGGCCAAUUUGUUGUAAUACAUGAAAAGAACAACACCUAAGCAAUCAUCAUUUGUGCAAAUUUCCAAUCAGCUUUUUUUUUU